This 971-nucleotide long non-coding RNA is filed under the name Rhinopithecus bieti (black snub-nosed monkey). RNAcentral describes it as "lncRNA (ENSRBIG00000046076.1)". Lineage: Eukaryota; Metazoa; Chordata; Mammalia; Primates; Cercopithecidae. The record is from RNAcentral.
CCAUCUUAAUCUUAUUAUGCAAAUGAACUCGCCCGUUGACUGGCGCCAUCUUGUCUGCUCCUGACUACACGCAGCUGAUAAAGAGAAGGGAAGAUGGGGCUCCCAUUUUGAGCAUGAUUGGCACAAAUGCCAGCAUAUAUGUCUGCAGCUCGAUUUUAUAUGCUGCUCAUUGUUAGAAAGGAAAAUGGUUCGGGGCUGCUUUUCAUUAAAAGGAAAACUUGACUGAGGACUUCUGUACCCUCACUAUCUGCCUAAGUAAUUUCUUUUUUUUUUUUCUUUCUUUCUUUUUUUUUUUGAGAGGGAGUCUUCUCUGUCUCCAGGUUGGAGUGCAGUAGCACUCACUGCAACCUCUGCCUCCCAGAUUCAAGCGAUUCUCCUGCCUCAGCCUCCCGAGUAGCUGGCACUAGAGAUGGGGUUUCACCAUGCUGGCCAGGAUGGUUUUGAUCUCUUGACCUCGUGAUCUGCCUGCCUCCGCCUCUCAAAGUGCUGGGAUUACAGGCGUGAUCCACUGUGCCGGGCCAGUAAUUUCUUCUUAAAUCCUGUAUCAACAUAUGAUAAAAUACAGCAUUUUAAAACAAGUUUUGAAAAGAUUAAGAAUUUAUAAAAGCUCUAAGAAGGAAACUUCAAAUAUGGAUCUCAAUCACGAGCAAGGUAAUGAGGACCCAGUGACCAUGAAGAGGCUCCAGAAGUCCAUGACCUUCUGUUAUGAAAAGUUAUAGUACGAUCUGUGCUCAACAGAAAAGUGCCUACUGAAGACAUGAUGAUGAUAAUAGUGACAGCUAACAUUACUGAACCAGGCACUGUUCAGAGCACACAACAAUGAACUCAGUAUAUGUGCCAAGAACUAUAUUGAGUAUGCAACAUGGAUAAAAUAAUCCAAACCUCAAAAUAAACCUAUGAGGUAAAUACUAUUAUUAUCUUGAUUUUAUUGAUAAAGUGAGGAACAGAAAGGUUUAGUAAAUUGCUCAAGA